This 430-nucleotide ribosomal RNA is filed under the name uncultured bacterium. Its description in RNAcentral is "bacterial SSU rRNA". It matches the Rfam family "Bacterial small subunit ribosomal RNA", at positions 355 to 776 of the family's 1533-position model. The record is from RNAcentral.
UGAGGAAUUUUGCGCAAUGGGCGAAAGCCUGACGCAGCAACGCCGCGUGACUGAUUAAGCUCUGAGGAGUGUAAAAGUCUGUCGUAGAGGAAGAAACUAUCCGAUAAGAAUAUUGUCGGAUACUGACGGUACUCUAUGAGAAAGCUCCGGCUAACUCCGUGCCAGCAGCCGCGGUAAUACGGGGGGAGCAAGCGUUGUCCGGAAUCACUGGGCGUAAAGAGCGCGUAGGCGUCCUAGUAAGUUUCUGGUGAAAUACUCCUGCUCAACGGGAGAAUUGCUGGAGAUACUGUUAGGAUUGAGUUUAGAAGAGGGAAGUGGAAUUCCUGGUGUAGCGGUGAAAUGCGUAGAUAUCAGGAAGAACACCGAUGGCGAAGGCAGCUUCCUAGUCUAACACUGACGCUGUGGCGCGAAAGCGUGGGGAGCAAACAGG